RNAcentral lists this transfer RNA (75 nucleotides) under bacterium BMS3Abin05. Its description in RNAcentral is "tRNA-Arg". It matches the Rfam family "tRNA". Rfam says of the family: Transfer RNA (tRNA) molecules are approximately 80 nucleotides in length. Their secondary structure includes four short double-helical elements and three loops (D, anti-codon, and T loops). The record is from RNAcentral. RNAcentral also lists the same sequence under 1 other name.
GCGCCCAUAGCUCAACUGGAAAGAGCAUCUGACUUCGGAUCAGAGGGUUGGGGGUUCGAGUCCUCCUGGGCGCGC